AUAAACUUGUAUCAAUAGAAAUAAUUGUUUUAUGACAAAAUAAAAGAUCAUAACUAUUUGAAAUAAAUACUUGUUCAUCCAGUCAUAACUAUUUGAACUUGCUUAGUAAAUAGAUUUAUUUUUUUAAAAUCUUUUACUUAUUAAUUUUUGGAAUAUGAAUAAACUAGCAUUAUUUUAUUUCAAAUACACAUGUUUGAACAGAAACAAUUGGUUUAUGACAAAACAAAAUGUCAUAAUUAUUUGAAAUAAAUAAUUAUUUAACUAAUAAUAACUAUUUGAAUGUGUUUUAUGACAAAAUAUCUUAACUAUUUGAGCUAGUUUGGCAAACACAUUUAUUUUUUAAAUCUCUUACUUAUUAAUUUUUGAAAUAUUAUUAAAUUAGCAUUAUUUUUAUCUAAAUAAGCUAGUACGAAAAGAAACAAUUUUUUAUGACAAAAUAAAAAGCAUAAUGAUUUAAGAUAGAUAAUUAUUCAAAUAGUCAUAACUAUUUGAACUAUUUUAGUAAAUAGAUUUAGUUUUUAAAUCUCUUAUUAAUUUUCAAAAUAUUAGUAGAUUAGUAUUAUUUUAUUUUGAAUAAUUUUGCAAGAACAGAAACAAUUAUUUUAUGACAAAACAAAAGAUCAUAAUGAUUUGAAGCAGAUAAUUAUUCAAAUGGACAUGAUUAUUUGAACUUGUUCAAUAAGCAAUUUUAUUUUUUAAAUCUCCUACCUAUUAAUUUUUAGAAUAUUAAUAAAUUAGUAUUAUUUUAUUUUGAAUAAACUUAUGUGAAUAGAACAAUUGCUUUUUGACAAACAAAAGAUCUUAACUAUUUGAAAUAAUGAUUGUUCAAAUAGUUAUAACUAUUUGAACUUACGGUAAAAAAUUUAUUUUUUAAAUCUUUUACUUAUUAAUUUUUGGAAUAUUAAUAAAAUAGUAUUAUUUUAUUUCAAAUACGCUUGUAUGAACAAAAACAAUUGGUUUAUGAUAAAACAAAAGGUCAUGACUAUUUGAAAUAGAUAAUUGUUCAAAUAGUCAUAACUAUUUGAAUGUGUUCAAAAAUAGAUUAUUUUUUUAAAUUUUACUUAUUAAUUUUUGGAAUAUUAAUAAAUUAUAUUUAUUUUUUAUUCAAUAUAAGCUUGUAUGAACAAAAACAAUUAUUUUAUGACAAAACAAAAGGUCAUAAUGAUUUGAAAUAGAUAAAUUUUCAAAUAGUCAUAACUAUUUGAACUUGUUCAGUAAAUAAAUUCAUUUUUUAAAUCUCUUUCUCAUUAAUUUUAGAGUAUUAAUAAAUUAGUAUUAUUUUAUUUUAAAUAAGCCUGAUUUCUGCCCAGUGCUCUGAAUGUCAAAGUGAAGAAAUUCAACCAAGCACGGGUAAACGGCGAGAGAAACUAUGACUCUCUUAAGGUAGCCAAAUGCCUCGUCAUAUAAUUAGUGACGCACAUGAAUGGAUUAACGAGAUUCCCACAGUCCCUGUCUACUAUCCAGUGAAACCAUAGCCAAGGGAACGGGCUUGGCGGAAUUAGCAGGGAAAGAAGACCCUGUUGAGCUUAACUCUAAUCUGACUUUGUGAAAUGACUUGAGAGGAGUAGGAUAAGUGGGAGCCCUCGGGCGAAAUUGAAAUACCACUACAUUUAACAUUAUUUUACUUAUUUCAUGAAUCGGAGGUAGGGCACGACCCUUUCUUUUAGACCCAAGGUUAGCCUCAAUCGGUCGAUUCGGGUGAAAGACAUUGUCAGGUAGGGAGUUUAGCUGGGGUGGCACAUCUGUUAAAAGAUAACACAGGUGCCCUAAGAUGAGCUCAAUGAGAACAAAAGUCUCGUGUGGAAUAAAAGGGUAAAAGCUCGUUUCAUUCUGAUUUCCAAUACAAAUACGAACCAUGAAAGCGUGGCCUAUCGAUCCUUUAGACCUUCGGGAUUUAAAGCUAGAGGUGUCAAAAAAGUUACCAUAGGGAUAACUAGCUUGUGGUAGCCAAGCAUUCAUAGCGACGUUGCUUUUUGAUCCUUUGAUGUCGAUUUUUCCUAUCAUGAUGAAGCAAAAUUCACCAAGUGUUAGAUUGUUCACCCACCAAUAGAGAACGUGAGCUGGGUUUAGACCAUCGUGUGACAGGUUAGUUUUACCCUACUGAUGGUGACAUCACGAUUGUAAUUCAACCUAGUACGAGAAGAACCGUUGAUUCGUAUAAUUGGUCAUCGUGCUUAGUUAAAAAGCCAGUGGCAUGAAGCUAUCGUGUGUUGGAUUAUGACUGAACGCCUCUAAGUCAAAAUCUGGUUUAGAUGCGGUGCACAAGCCCAUCGCCUGAUUGUUAACCCGCAGUAAGGGCCCAUGGCCCCUAAGGGCAAGUGUCGUAGGUGUAGCCCCCAAGACGGACGAGUCGUGCAAGCUUCCUUGGAGCUCAAUUCCCAUCGAG
RNAcentral lists this ribosomal RNA (2386 nucleotides) under Durio zibethinus. RNAcentral's name for it is "eukaryotic LSU rRNA". The stretch from base 955 to 2386 matches the Rfam family "Eukaryotic large subunit ribosomal RNA", at positions 1891 to 3288 of the family's 3401-position model. Lineage: Eukaryota; Viridiplantae; Streptophyta; Magnoliopsida; Malvales; Malvaceae. The record is from RNAcentral.